This is an RNA transcript of Sorghum bicolor (sorghum), 1628 nucleotides long. It is a transcript of the gene named cytochrome B5-like protein, with no coding region annotated. The record is from RefSeq and is a predicted model, not a curated record. Lineage: Eukaryota; Viridiplantae; Streptophyta; Magnoliopsida; Poales; Poaceae. The transcript has 7 exons.
AGCACGUGCGAUGGCCAGGUUAUAUUCUCCUACUGUUAUUGUGAACUUUGUUCGUUCCCUGCGUGCGAGAUCGCCGAUUCGCCAUUGCUACAGCUCUUGCCCCGUCUAAUUUACGCACUUGGGGAGGGUCACUAGUCGCUGCGCGCACUGCUGUGCUCUUCGUUCUCUCUGUCCAGUCAGCACCAGGUACAGUGAUUUCUGAGGUGCGCGAUGGAAAUUCUGAUCUACAUCUUGCUUGCUGUGCUUCUUGUACUGGGAGCCCUGUUUGUUAUCCCAAAGUCUAACAGCAAAGGUAAAGGAAAUGGAGCGCAUCCAUUAGGAAGUGGGAAGACAUCUAGAACCUAUACAAAGAAAGAGGUAUCAACUCACAACACAAGGAAGGAUUGUUGGAUAAUAAUCAAAGAUAAGGUUUAUGAUGUCACUUCAUACGUGGAGGAACACCCAGGUGGUGAUGCCAUCUUGAACAAUGCUGGAGAUGAUUCAACGGAGGGAUUUUUUGGGUGAGCUGUGUGUACCCAGCCCUGAACCUGUAGGAUCCAAAACAUUCUAGAUCCAUGUCCAUGUGGUGGUUGUUAUGAGAAUGAAACGUUAAAUAUAUACUCCCUCCAUCCCAAAUUGCCGCAACAUGGGACAAGAGUGUUUGACAUCAUCGAGGAUUUCUGCAUCGGCGAACUGAAGGAGUAGAGGCUGUGGAUGCUACGAAUCAAGUGUGAACCCACGCGUUCUUCUGCAUUUUCUGGACGACGACGACAGGAAGUGAUGAGGACUCCUCCCAGCUUUUGUGGUUCUGCUUUGAUAUUGACCAGGUAUUUUACCAGGCAGUAGCAGUGUUUGAAGCAUGGACUUUGGACGUGUCCUGGACGUUUUUGUUAGCUUUAUCACUUUGAGAAGAUAUGCUUGUUAGAUGUAUGGAACUUUCUAAGACCGGACAACUAAUUUGCCCAUGCAUUUUCAUAUUGAUGUUUAAAACAUGACAGUGAGAGGCAUUUGCCCAGUCCAAUUCUCCUCCCCCCCUGGUCGUGUCUGAGAAUGACAGAGCUGUUCGGCUCAAGGGAACACGUUUAGAAUUAUGGUGAUUGAUUGAUGAGCUCAUAUUUCAAUCUUUUUUUUUGUAUGAAGAUGAAAGUUCAUACUUUUGUUCAUGAUGAAUUAAUCUUGACCGAAGAGUUGAUCUUCAAAGAUUAGGUAAGAGUAUAUACCGGAUGUAAAACAGCUCACAAGGCCCCAGCAGCUUGUAAGCAACACAUUGGUAAAGCAUGAGAGAGUAAGUACUGUCGUAUUAUUUUGUUAUAAAAGAAAAAUACUGUUGAAUCAGAUAACCCAAGCCUUGUUGUGACUUGUGAUGUGAGUAUGAUAUGGCCUAGGCACUGCCAGGCUGUGGUUGAAGGACAAGGUUUGUUUGGAAGUUGCCCAGUUUGGUGUAUCAUCAUGAUCAAUCCAGUCACACGUUACCCACCUUUUGGUAACCAGGGUAAAAAAAAGGCUUAUAAACGUAUUUGUGUUUUCAAAAUACAUUUAUGUGCAAGAGUGUAGAGCAAGAGCAACUACCAAUAAUUGAGAUCAACAAUGAAAAAUUCUCACAUAGCUCGAAGGAUCUUAUUUUCCCUUGGCACAAAAAAAAAAUUCAA